UACGAAAGGAGCAGGUGUUAUUCAGAUUAACUGGGCGUAAAGGGCACGUAGGUGGUUUGUUAUGUGUACUAUUAAAUUGUAAAGCCUAACUUUACAACGUAGUACAGACAACUAAGCUAGAGUUAGGUAGAGAGUAGUAGAAUUUCUAAUGUAAAGGUGAAAUUUGAUAAAAUUAGAGAGAAUACCAAUGGCGUAGGCAACUACUUAGGCCUUAACUGACACUGAGGUGCGAAGGUAUGGGGAGCAAAUAGG
RNAcentral lists this ribosomal RNA (252 nucleotides) under uncultured bacterium. Its description in RNAcentral is "partial 16S ribosomal RNA". It matches the Rfam family "Bacterial small subunit ribosomal RNA", at positions 524 to 776 of the family's 1533-position model. The record is from RNAcentral.